This 433-nucleotide ribosomal RNA is filed under the name uncultured bacterium. Its description in RNAcentral is "partial 16S ribosomal RNA". It matches the Rfam family "Bacterial small subunit ribosomal RNA", at positions 29 to 507 of the family's 1533-position model. The record is from RNAcentral.
AACGAACGCUGGCGGCAUGCCUAACACAUGCAAGUCGAACGAGACCUUCGGGUCUAGUGGCGCAUGGGUGCGUAACGCGUGGGAACCUGCCCUUAGGUUCGGAAUAACUCCCCGAAAGGGGUGCUAAUACCGGAUAAUGUCUUCGGACCAAAGAUUUAUCGCCUUUGGAUGGGCCUGCGUUGGAUUAGCUAGUUGGUAGGGUAAAAGCCUACCAAGGCGACGUUCCAUAGCUGGUCUGUGAGGAUGAUCAGGCACACUGGGACUGAGACACGGCCCAGACUCCUGCGGGAGGCAGCAGUGGGGAAUAUUGGGCAAUAGGCGAGAGCCUGAUCCAGCAAUGCCGCGUGAGUGAUGAAGGCCUUAGGGUUGUAAAGCUCUUUUACCCGGGAUGAUAAUGACAGUACCGGGAGAAUAAGCUCCGGCUAACUCCGUG